Molecule: ribosomal RNA, 606 nt
Filed under: uncultured bacterium
Lineage: Bacteria
Description: partial 16S ribosomal RNA
Rfam family: Bacterial small subunit ribosomal RNA
Source: RNAcentral
UGGGGAAUAUUGCACAAUGGGCGCAAGCCUGAUGCAGCCAUGCCGCGUGUGUGAAGAAGGCCUUCGGGUUGUAAGCACUUUCAGCGAGGAGGAAGGUGGUGAACUUAAUACGUUCAUCAAUUGACGUUACUCGCAGAAGAAGCACCGGCUAACUCCGUGCCAGCAGCCGCGGUAAUACGGAGGGUGCAAGCGUUAAUCGGAAUUACUGGGCGUAAAGCGCACGCAGGCGGUUUGUUAAGUCAGAUGUGAAAUCCCCGGGCUCAACCUGGGAACUGCAUUUGAAACUGGCAAGCUAGAGUCUCGUAGAGGGGGGUAGAAUUCCAGGUGUAGCGGUGAAAUGCGUAGAGAUCUGGAGGAAUACCGGUGGCGAAGGCGGCCCCCUGGACGAAGACUGACGCUCAGGUGCGAAAGCGUGGGGAGCAAACAGGAUUAGAUACCCCUGGUAGGUCCAGCCGCUGUAAAACGAUGUCGAUUUGGAGGUUGUGCCCCUUGAGGCGUGGGCUUCCGGAGCUAACGCGUUAAAGUCGACCGCCUGGGGGAGUACGGCCGCAAGGUCUAAAAAUCUUGAAAAGGAAUUGGCUAAGCGGGGGUGCAUAGCUGUUUCCU